UACAGAGGGUGCGAACGUUGCUCGGAAUUACUGGGCGUAAAGCGCAUGUAGGCGGAUCCAUAAGUCGGGCGUGAAAUCCCCAGGCUCAACCUGGGAACUGCGUUCGAAACUGUGGGUCUAGAGUGUCGGAGAGGAUGGCGGAAUUCCUGGUGUAGAGGUGAAAUUCGUAGAUAUCAGGAGGAACACCGGUGGCGAAGGCGGCCAUCUGGACGACAACUGACGCUGAGAUGCGAAAGCGUGGGGAGCAAACAGG
Molecule: ribosomal RNA, 253 nt
Filed under: uncultured bacterium
Lineage: Bacteria
Description: partial 16S ribosomal RNA
Rfam family: Bacterial small subunit ribosomal RNA
Source: RNAcentral